GUGGGGAAUAUUGGACAAUGGGGGGAACCCUGAUCCAGCCAUGCCGCGUGUGUGAAGAAGGCCUUUUGGUUGUAAAGCACUUUAAGCGAGGAGGAGGCUACCGAGAUUAAUACUCUUGGAUAGUGGACGUUACUCGCAGAAUAAGCACCGGCUAACUCUGUGCCAGCAGCCGCGGUAAUACAGAGGGUGCAAGCGUUAAUCGGAUUUACUGGGCGUAAAGCGCGCGUAGGUGGCCAAUUAAGUCAAAUGUGAAAUCCCCGAGCUUAACUUGGGAAUUGCAUUCGAUACUGGUUGGCUAGAGUAUGGGAGAGGAUGGUAGAAUUCCAGGUGUAGCGGUUAAAUGCGUAGAGAUCUGGAGGAAUACCGAUGGCGAAGGCAGCCAUCUGGCCUAAUACUGACACUGAGGUGCGAAAGCAUGGGGAGCAAACAGGAUUAGAAACCCCAGUAGUCC
Molecule: ribosomal RNA, 451 nt
Filed under: uncultured bacterium
Lineage: Bacteria
Description: partial 16S ribosomal RNA
Rfam family: Bacterial small subunit ribosomal RNA
Source: RNAcentral